Molecule: ribosomal RNA, 450 nt
Filed under: uncultured bacterium
Lineage: Bacteria
Description: partial 16S ribosomal RNA
Rfam family: Bacterial small subunit ribosomal RNA
Source: RNAcentral
CCUACGGGUGGCUGCAGUGGGGAAUCUUGCGCAAUGGACGAAAGUCUGACGCAGCGACGCCGCGUGGGUGAUGAAGGCCUUCGGGUUGUAAAGCCCUGUGGGGAGAGAAGAAUAAGUGCGGGCUAAUACCCCGCAUGAUGACGGUAUCUCCUUAGCAAGCACCGGCUAACUCUGUGCCAGCAGCCGCGGUAAGACAGAGGGUGCAAACGUUGUUCGGAAUUACUGGGAGUAAAGCGGAUAAAUCGGAUGUGAAAGCCCCGGGCUCAACCCGGGAAGUGCACUCGAUACUGUUAGGCUAGAGUACUGGAGAGGUUGGUGGAAUUCUCGGUGUAGAGGUGAAAUUCGUAGAUAUCGAGAGGAACACCGGUGGCGAAGGCGGCCAACUGGACAGAUACUGACGCUGAGACACGAAAGCGUGGGGAGCAAACAGGAUUAGAUACCCGAGUAGUC